Molecule: ribosomal RNA, 32 nt
Filed under: Hemicriconemoides macrodorus
Lineage: Eukaryota; Metazoa; Nematoda; Chromadorea; Rhabditida; Criconematidae
Description: partial 28S ribosomal RNA
Source: RNAcentral
UUCGACCUGAACUCAGACGUGGUUACCCGCUG